Molecule: long non-coding RNA, 2417 nt
Organism: Mustela putorius furo (domestic ferret)
Lineage: Eukaryota; Metazoa; Chordata; Mammalia; Carnivora; Mustelidae
Source: Ensembl
GAUAUCGAGAAUUUCAUUUCUCUUUCUUCCCUGUUUGUGCUGAGGUCUUGUUAUAACAUUCCAGAAACCAUCACCACAAUCAAGACAGUGAACAUCUCCAUCAGCCCUAGAAGUUUUCUCCUGUUCCUUUUACUUCACCCCACUUCCCAGCCCAGGCAACCACAGACAGAGAGCUUCCAAGAUGCUUUUCUAGAAUUUUAUAUAGCUGGAAUUAUACAGUAUGUACUCUUUUAUUGCGGGGGGGGGGUUUUUUUUUUUUUUUUUAAGAAGAAAAAUAUUUCAUAUUUUCAAGACAAUCUGAUCUUACCCUUGUCAUAUAUAUCAAACUGGCAUUUUGGAUUAAACCAGUGUGGCUUGUUGAUAAUAAUUCAAGUUGUUCUUUCGAUGAUAAAACAUUCUCAUUGAAAACCCGAGUUAGCUGCAAAGUUAGAUGCAGGACCAUUUCCCACGUAAUUGAGUUCUUUCUGGAAAUGUUUUCUGCUGAAUAUAUACUGUCAUAAUACACAGUGAUCUUUAAGAAAUCUUAUAUCAAACUCAAUGUGAUUAUUUGUGGAAGUAAGAGCAGGGCAUUUUUCUGGACAAAGGCCAGCAUUAUAUCUGCCUGUCAUUCUUUGAUCAAGAAACAAUAGCAUCUGAAAUUUGUAAUAUAUAGCUGAAGGGUUUUUUUUUUAAAUGCUAUUUUCAUGAAAACAGUCCUUAAAGCAAUUUAAUCAGUCCAUAUCAGUUUUCUCUUUCAUCAAAAUUUUGAAAAAUCAUACGCCAAUCACUACAGCAAUACUCAUCUUGGUUUAUAGUAUAUGAGCUGUAUUGCCCACAAAUAUCUGUUCUAUGGGUUCCCGUCUUGGGUCUGUUCUGGAACUUUACCAAUUCUCCUUUCUUUUUUGAGUCUUCCAUUAUUCAUUUCCAUGAAUUUAUUUUAUAUAAGCAAUUCAAGUAUUUUCAAGCUAGUCCUAUUUAAAACUGAUAUUUAAAAAAAAAAAUCCUUUAAUUUGGGUUCCCAUUUGACCACCCUCUCUAAAAUGUGGCGACUUACCCAAGCUUCCAUUCCCAGUGAGGGGCCUCGUUCCAGCUGGGGAGUUCCCUCUCUGUGAUGAGCAAAGCUGACUUAGAGAUAGGAUGAUACAGCAAAAUGAAACAGUCUUCCUUCCCUUUUCUUGCAAUUAUUCUUAGGUUUUUUUUGUCCCACUGUGUUGCUGAAGUUUCUUAAGGGGACUCUAGUACUCUUAGGGCUGAUUUUCUUUAUGGAGAGCUGAGUAACAGCUUCUCUUUGUGGGGGAUGGAGGCCCCAUUUUGUUGAUUUCCCUCUGGCUAAUGUUUCCCAAUGUCUCUUGAAGAUGCUCUUCGUCUUCCUCAACCCAACUAACAUGUUCCCUGGGCUCUUCCUCAGCCUUUUUUUUUCCUUUUGGUAUACAUCUCCUUGGGAUAAGUCACACUUUUCAUAGAUUUAAUAAACUGCCUAUAUACAAAUGACUUUUAGAUUAAUGUCUCUUCACAAGACAUUUCCUAUUUAUCCAACUGCCUACAGGAAUCUUUACAUGGAUAUCCCACAAAAGCUUCCCAUCAAAAUGUCCAAAGCCACUGUGUUUAUCCUUUCCAUAGGUCAAAUCCUCCCCUUAAUGACUUGCUUUUUCCUCCUGGCCGCCCGCCCAAUGUCUAAAUCACGUUGAUUGUAUUUCUGAAGUAUCUCUUAGAUUUAUCCUUCUUUUUCUUUCUCACUACUUCUGUCACUGCGACUUCCUUAGAUCAUGCGGCUCUAAUGAUUCUUGCUUGGGAUUUGUAGUAUAUUAUCUCUUUGCUGUUCUUCCUGGUUAGGGGAAUCCCUGCACUCCAAGUGUUCUUACAGACUAUGGCAAUAGUGACUUUCCUAAUAGUCAGAUUGACUAGGCCAUUUGCCUGAUCUUGAUUCUUGAAUGGUUUCUCAUUGCCUCAGUAUAAGUUUUGACUCUUUCAACAUAUUCUUUUACGAUACAGCUCCCUAUCGGUUCAGUCCGUGUACCACUUACUGCAAUACGUUUCAUUCUUUCGCAAUACUAAAUCAUUUUCAGUUACCUACAAUAUCAUACUUUUUUUACUCCUCCAGUACUUUUUAAAUGAUGUUUACUCCUUCCAGAAUACUAUUUUGCUUUCACAUUGUGAACCCUUUCCUCCCAAAUCUGCCUAUCAAACUUGGGAGUCAUCUUUCAAGUUUCAGCUCAUUAUUUUCCCCCUUAUUAAUCCUCUGCCCUCUCUGUUGUGCCUUUUGGGACUUAUGGUGUGAUAUCUGUCACAUGAAAUCAUGACAAUUUGCUUGUUUAUAUGUUUUUCCUCUAUACUUCAUGAGUCCCUGAGGACAGAGAUUGUAUCUACAGACCUCAUACAGUAAUUGGUACAUGGCUGGUGACCAAAGUGGAUGGUGAAUGAAUGCAAAAGGGAAUUUG